GUGGGGGAUAUUGGACAAUGGGGGGAACCCUGAUCCAGCGACGCCGCGUGAGUGAAGAAGUAUCUCGGUAUGUAAAGCUCUAUCAGCAGGGAAGAAGAAAGUGACGGUACCUGACUAAGAAGCCCCGGCUAACUACGUGCCAGCAGCCGCGGUAAUACGUAGGGGGCAAGCGUUAUCCGGAAUCACUGGGUGUAAAGGGAGCGUAGACGGUGAAGUAAGUCUGGAGUGAAAGGCGGGGGCCCAACCCCCGGACUGCUCUGGAAACUAUUUGACUGGAGUGCAGGAGAGGCAGGCGGAAUUCCUAGUGUAGCGGUGAAAUGCGUAGAUAUUAGGAGGAACAUCGGUGGCGAAGGCGGCCUGCUGGACUGUAACUGACGUUGAGGCUCGAAAGCGUGGGGAGCAAACAGGA
RNAcentral lists this ribosomal RNA (409 nucleotides) under uncultured bacterium. RNAcentral's name for it is "bacterial SSU rRNA". It matches the Rfam family "Bacterial small subunit ribosomal RNA", at positions 354 to 777 of the family's 1533-position model. The record is from RNAcentral.